This 259-nucleotide unclassified non-coding RNA is filed under the name Hevea brasiliensis (rubber tree). Lineage: Eukaryota; Viridiplantae; Streptophyta; Magnoliopsida; Malpighiales; Euphorbiaceae. The record is from RNAcentral.
AUUUAAUAAGUAUCAAUACUACCCAAUCAACAAAUAAAUACACUAAAGGUUGGUAAUAAGAGUAUUCCUUGAAACAGAAUCUGAACUGUUCAAAAAUUAGAACAACCGAACGAUCUUUAACUUUGGUGAUGUAGAAAAACACUUCAAACUAAACCACCACCCACGGGAAUGGAAUCCCCAAGUUGAGGCGAUGUUGAGAAACUAAGCAUGGUAGCCGGACAUUGCCGGAAAACAGUACAUGCACGGACGCGCCGGCGCA